CGGAUUCCGCAGCCGCACGGCCCUAGGAGUGCCAGACGCCCCCGUUGGCCACCUUGCCGCUCCCAGGGUCCUCAUCGUCGUCAUUUUCAUCAUCGUCGUCUUCCUCACCCUCGUCGUCGCCCUUGCCAUCCCCAUCGUCGUCAUCGUCCGACUCCGGCCCCUCGUUCUCGUUGGCGUCCAAUUUGUCAAGGUACUUGUGUCCGGAUCAUGCCUGGCCCGCGUGACGGGGCACUCGUAGAGAUUGAGCGAGAUGAGGCGGAGGCGCGCGAGCGAGCGGCGCCAGAUCGUCCACAUCUUAGAUGCGGAGGUCGAGGUCGCGCAGCCGUGGCCCACCUCGACGAGGUGCUCGACCGUGGGAUCUCGUUCAAGUCCUCAGGUCAAUUUCCACGGGAUCCCGUUCAAGCGGAAGCACUCUACUGCGCUCCUAUGCCCCAAAUCUGCUAUUCUAUGGAGGCAGCCGUCAGCAUCCAUUUCGCCCAAUGAGCUUGGAGCCGUGCACAGCUGCCGUCCUCCAGUUCAAGACUUCUGGUGUGGUGUCGACCUCACAGCACUACCGCUCAUUUGAGUCUGAAUUUCUUUGGUACUGCACUACUACUAUCUCUAAGUUCUGCAUUUGCUAAAUAUAUAUGUUAUUGUCAAUUUGCUAAAUAUAUGUGAUUGUCAAAUAGCAGUAUUCUUUGAUGAGAUGCCAAUAUAUGUGAUUUGUUUUGUUCUUCAAUAGAUGGACCAUGUCCGCUCAAAGUCAGAGGUUCAUCACGCCAUGGUAACGAGCAUGACAUUUACUGAUUCUUCUUCUCUCUUACCACCUAUGUUCAGUUGACUGCUUAUGUGGAACACACAUGCACAACUCCAUUGAAAUAACACAUGACUUCAGAUAUCAUCUUCCGAUUCUAUUCGAUUGAAACUGUUACUAUCAUUUAUCAAUGGUUACAUUUAGAAUUACAAGUGCAUUUUCUUGAUCUUCUGUCACCUAGAUUUACUUAUGUUUAUAAGAUUUCAGAUUCAUGUUGUGAGGUCAACUUUUGCUAUUUUUAGUUGUUCUAUACCCUCCAGUUAAUGCAAGCAAGCAAACUACUCCUUCGGAUAGUACUAAACUGCUACUAUGUCUUGAAAUUGAAGAGGAUUUUGGCACGCAAGAGUUAAAACAAAUCAGGCAACAAAAAGCUAAUUCAAGAAGCCAUUGACAGUUGAUGAGACUGUCUACCUUAUUUGCUAAGUAUUUGUUGACUAUCGUAGCAUAUAUACCUACUGAAUGUGUUUGCUGCAAUUAGUGCUGAACAAUAGGAGUGUUCUGUUUCUCAUUGGAGCAGGUUGCAUUUAUGCAUCUAAACUUUAUUUAUCAAUCCUACCUUCCUCCCAUGAUGAUAAAUGAGCUCUUCUAGCAAACAAUUUGUAGAACUAAGUUGUCAAUUUAAAACACAAUCUCUGAUCAAUAUGGUAAUGUAGCAGCACUUCACAGUCGUGAUUGCAGUGUGCAAUGACGAGAUCACUAGAUAUGGUGCUCCAGAUUGAAAUCAUCAGUUUUAUUACCGGUGUGCUUAAUUACCUAUAGUUUUUUUGAUCAACCUUGUACAUUCUUCAUCUGGUAUAGAGUAGUUGACAUUUUUCUUGGAUAUUCUGUAGUUUUUUUACUCAAAAUUAUCAUGCAUAUGAUGCGGACUGAAUGACUGAAUGCUACAGACUGAAUGACUGAAUGUUGGCCCUAUGAAUGGCCCUGAAGGCCUGAACUACCCAUUUUAAAAACUUCACAGUGCUGAGCAGAGUUUAGGAUAACAUCAUAAUAGAUUCUCCCAGCCUAAGUUGACCCCAGCCUAUCACAAACAGGGGCAUAUGUUUUUAGAUCCAAAACAUGGCAUUGUUUCUGUUUAGGAAGCACACAUUAAACAGUCUAUUUACUACAAGUAUGUCUAAAUGAGUACAGUGACCAUGGUAUCUGAGUAUUUUAUCUUGUUAUCUGAUAAAUUGUUGAUCAAACGGUAUGCAUUGCUUAUAAAUUUUUAGUUUCUUCAAGAAGCUACAGUAGGAUUAACUACUGUUUCCAACAAGGGUGGUUCUGACCUCCCAGGUUCUUCUCAGCAGCCCAGCGAUCUUCUCACCGUCUCGAUCGCCAUGGCCGCUGCCACACCAACAUCACUACUCCCGGCCAUCUCCCCUUGGCUGAGGUCUUCGAUGAUGCUGAGCCUGGGCAGCAGUCCUGGUUCAUCGGCUGGAGGAGUGCCUCCAUGGACUCGUGGUCCAAAGCCACAGGGUGGCCUCGCAGUGCGCGGAUGGAAAUUCCCAGUUACAGACAAGAUGUUGACCGGGGCGAAAUAUUUUGCAUUGCAAUGACCUGAAAACUUGGAUGGUUCAGCAGAGUUGUAAAUGGUGGAGAUAUAUUUGGCAUUGAUUUACUAUUUCUGGCGUGAAGAUAUAUUAGCAAAAGUAAGGGAGAGAACAUAGUAUGGUCAUACUCAAAUGCAUAACUACCUUGAGAUCGGGCUGCAGAAUCCCUCGCCGACAGGCCGGCCAGCGUCGUGGACUACGCGGGCCAGGCUACGCGUGGCACCUCCUCCACUGUCUUCCGUGUCACCGACCUCGCCUCACCGCUCCGUCCCUAGGCUCCCUUCAUGACCGGGUCCUCGGACCGGGAGGCCCUGGCCGUGCGGAUGGAGCCAUCUAGCAUCGUCGGCACCGGAACAUCGACCACCGUAGGUGCUUCUCGAGGCAGCCGGAGGUGGGCUGCUGAUGGUCACCGCUGUCCGCGGGAUGCACUGGUAGCACGACGCAAGUGAGACCAACUCUUUGAUCUCCUGCACAGAUUUGUAGCUGCAGGAAUUUUGUUUGGGAAGAAAAAAUGCAUCUUCUUUGUCACGUGUGUAAUCGAUCAGUAAAUGUUCAGAGUGUUGUGUUGCAACACAAACAAAUCUUGCAGGACAGCUGGGUUAUAUAAAAAUUCGAUCCUGUGAUAGGUUCAGAAGAUGUACUAUAUUUGCUCUAGGAUUGGAGUAGCUUAAUUCAUACUGAAGCUUAAACAAAUUCGAAAUUUUAGAUUUGCUUGUAAUGAUCUAACGGGUAGAUAUGGGUGUAGUUUGUCAUCUAUUCGAGUUC
Lolium rigidum is the source of this 3087-nucleotide RNA transcript. RefSeq lists it as uncharacterized. The transcript has 5 exons. NCBI's taxonomy places the organism in Eukaryota, Viridiplantae, Streptophyta, Magnoliopsida, Poales, Poaceae. The record is from RefSeq and is a predicted model, not a curated record.